Ipomoea triloba (trilobed morning glory) is the source of this 2411-nucleotide long non-coding RNA. RefSeq lists it as uncharacterized. The record is from RefSeq and is a predicted model, not a curated record. The transcript has 5 exons. NCBI's taxonomy places the organism in Eukaryota, Viridiplantae, Streptophyta, Magnoliopsida, Solanales, Convolvulaceae.
UCACAUGCCUCCACAUCUUUCGCCUUUCUUCUUCCUCCACCGUUUUUCAGCCACACAGCCCACACUCCAGAAUCGGUUAACACUAAAAAUAUAGCAUUCACAUCUCGGACUUCAUCCGUUCACGUCUGCACUCUAGCGAAUUUUAAGCCCUUCACCUGCAAAAUUUCAGAGUCGGUUACCACUUUAUACGAUCUCACCAGUAACAUUUCAAUAUCUCCAUGGUUUAAACUCAGAAUGUAGAUCUGGAAUGCUAGAUUUGCUGAUUAGCUUUGUAUCUUAUGGAUCCGUAUUGCAUGGUUCGGAAUCUUCGAUUCAUGGCUAGCUCACUGGUCUUGUACACAGCAAAACAAUCUCUUCGGCGUGGCUCUAAAACUAAUCAACAAGGUGGAUAAGGUGGAGGUGCUUGAAGUAUCGACUCCCACAAGCAGUUGGGAGAAGAAUUUUUCUUUGUCAUCUGUGGUUUGGAAGUUGGCAAUAAUUCCCUUUCCACAAAGCAAUUUUGCAUCUUCUGGUGUGUGAAUGAGGUGGCUCAUGAACAACACAAAAUCUGUGAAAUACUUGAAUGCAAGAUCAGAGUGUUGCUCAUAGGCUAUCAUGUUUCUCAAGAAUGUCUCUGUGAAGUCAUCAAUCCUGAAGCACCGAAUUUUCAUUGUACCCCAGUUGAAAUCUAUGUCAAAUAAACUUCUGUGGACCUCCUCAAUUUUCUGGAAGCUAACUCCAUCUUUUUCAAGCUCUGUGGCUGUAUUGAUUUGUUGUAAAACUAAGCCACACUCUUCAUCAUAUUCAUCGCUUCUGGUAGUAUUAGUAGGUAUGCAAAGACUAUGUACCACUUCAAGUAAAUGUUUAGGCAAACUUUGAGGUUUAUAUUUGUUGGGAAGUAGAGGCUGUGUUAACUUGCGCACUUGACUCUCAUAGCAGUUCUUCACCAACUCAAUAAGCUCCUUUAGAAAUGCAACAUCAUCACCUUUAUCCUGCUUCAAUUUGUGCAGUUCAAACAGGACAAAAAAGGGGAUUUGGUUCUCUAACAAUAGCAUGUCCUUCAAGGUUUGAGCUACCUUCCUUUCAUUUUCCAUGAAGGUUUGAGCUACCCUCCCAUUAUCGCUGGAUUUCUUAUCUGACACCAGAGUAUAAAAUAUAAUAGUUAACAAUGGAACCAUCAUAUGAUUAACAUUGAAUGGUGGUAAUUUAGAUUGAUACCUUUCACUGACUUCAAAAACUGAAGUAUGAAGCAACCAUCUCUCAUAAGCGUCUCCACAAGUCUUGCAUUAGUUAUGUUCUUGGUGCUACCAGCAUAGCAAGAGCGUGCCUUGUCCACAAAGCUUGUCAAUAACACCCUACACCGCUCCUCAAGCCCAUCUGUAUUUCCAAAAAAGCCUUCUUGAAAAUAUCUUUUGAUACUGUUUUCUGAGCCAGGCUCUUGUAUACGGUAAUAAGGCCCUAUGGAUAUCAGCUUUGGUUUGUAAGCACUGGGGUUGGUUUUAGACAGUGCUUCAGAAAAGGUUGAUCCCCCAAGCAGUUCAGAGAACAACUGUUCCCUGUUUGUGCCAUGGAAGUUGCCAAUAAUUUCACAAAGCAAUUCCGCAUCUUUUGGUGUGUUAAUGAGUUUGGUCAUAAACAACACAAAAUCUGUGAAAGGCUUGGAUGCAACAUCAGGGUGUUUCUCAUAGGCUAUCAUGCUUUUCAAGAAUGUCUCUGUGAACUCAUCAAUCCUGAAGCCCCGAAUUUUCAUCAUACACUCUUUGAAAUGUAUGUCAAAUAAAGUGUGCUCCCCAUUAUUUUUCUUGAAGCUAACUCCAUCUUUUUCAAGCUCUGUGGCUGUUUUGAUUUGUUUCAAAACUAAGCCACAAUAUUCAUCACUUCUGGGAUCUGCAUUUAGAGGUGUUAACUUGCCCACUUGAAUCUCAAAGCAGUUCUUCACCAACUGAAUAAGCGCCUCUAGCAAGGAAACAUCAUCACCAUUACCCUGCUUCAACUUGUGGAGUUCGAACAGGACAGGGAACGGGAUUUGCUUCUCUAAUAGUAAUAUGUCGAUCAAGGUUUGAGCUACCCUCCCAUUGCUUGUAUUAGCUAUCACCAGAGUAUAAAAUAUAAUAGUUAACAAUGAAACUAUCAUGAUUAACAUUGGCCAAGCACCUUGUGCUCAGAUUGCAUGUAGUGACUCUCCCAUAUGGGAGGUCAUGAGAUCGAGCCUCAGUGGAGGCGUUGUUGACUCUUUGUGCUUCAUUAGGUUGAGAAAGUAUAGAUGAACAUAUACUACAAUGUAAUAGAGUCAGUAGCACUAAAAAAAAAAAAUCAUGAUACCUUUGCUUGACCCGUAUUUGUACAAAACCCCAAGUAUGUAGCUACCAUAGUACAGAAACUUCUCCACAACUUCGCCAUUACUGGUGUUGUUGGUGUUAUCAGCAUUGCAA